RNAcentral lists this small RNA (508 nucleotides) under Arabidopsis thaliana (thale cress). RNAcentral's name for it is "unknown gene (AT4G06701)". Lineage: Eukaryota; Viridiplantae; Streptophyta; Magnoliopsida; Brassicales; Brassicaceae. The record is from RNAcentral.
GAGUUUUUCGGCGAUGGGAGACGAGCAGCUGGCGAUUGUGAUGGCCGAUCGUGAAAGAGAUCGAGAACUUUGAUUCGCUUCGCUGAUUCCGGCAACAAAGACGAUGAUUACUGGCAGCUCUAGCGCGAUUUUUAAAUCAGAUCAUCCCGCCAUGACCUCACAAGCUUGUCUCUUCAGAAUCAGCUCAAAGCAGACAGGAAAGAGGCGUUAAAGAUUUGGUGCAAGCUGCGACUCUGUGAUCACAACUCCACACCAAGUAUUCUCUUACAUCGCACUCGUCGCUCCUGCACUCGUAGUUUCUUUGAAUAGCCAAUGAAGAGUAAAGUUCAAUUAUGUGUGUCGUGUUUAGUAAUUUGACUUGAAAAAAGAGUUUGCUAGGGUCUCUUGUGAACAAGCUGUUAUGUCUGCAAUUCGUGAGUUUUGGUUAAUUUUGGAUUUGUACUUCUUGCAAUGGCUGCCCUCAAACCAUUGAUUAAUGUAUUAUAUAGGUGGUGUGGUUAAUGAUCCU